Molecule: ribosomal RNA, 470 nt
Filed under: uncultured bacterium
Lineage: Bacteria
Description: bacterial SSU rRNA
Rfam family: Bacterial small subunit ribosomal RNA
Source: RNAcentral
GAUGAACGCUAGCUACAGGCUUAACACAUGCAAGUCGAGGGGCAGCAUGGUCUUAGCUUGCUAAGGCCGAUGGCGACCGGCGCACGGGUGAGUAACACGUAUCCAACCUGCCGUCUACUCUUGGACAGCCUUCUGAAAGGAAGAUUAAUACAAGAUGGCAUCAUGAGUCCGCAUGUUCACAUGAUUAAAGGUAUUCCGGUAGACGAUGGGGAUGCGUUCCAUUAGAUAGUAGGCGGGUAACGGCCACCUAGUCUUCGAUGGAUAGGGGUUCUGAGAGGAAGGUCCCCCACAUUGGAACUGAGACACGGUCCAAACUCCUACGGGAGGCAGCAGUGAGGAAUAUUGGUCAAUGGCGAGAGCCUGAACCAGCCAAGUAGCGUGAAGGAUGACUGCCCUAUGGGUUGUAAACUGCUUUUAUAAGGGAAUAAAGUGGGAGUCGUGACUCUUUUUGCUAUGUACCUUAUGAAUAA